This 918-nucleotide ribosomal RNA is filed under the name uncultured bacterium. RNAcentral describes it as "bacterial SSU rRNA". It matches the Rfam family "Bacterial small subunit ribosomal RNA", at positions 8 to 916 of the family's 1533-position model. The record is from RNAcentral.
AGAGUUUGAUCCUGGCUCAGGACGAACGCUGGCGGCGUGCUUAAUGAAUGCGAGUCGAACGAGAACCAGUGGAGUGCUUGCACAAAGCUGGGGACAGUGGCGAACGGGUGAGUAACACGUGGGUAACCUGCCCUGUAGUCGGGCACAACAGUUGGAAACGACUGCUAAUUCCCGAUAGUCUGCAGUAGCGUCGGCUAUUGUAGUAAAGGUUUUUCCGCUACAGGAUGGGCCCGCGGGCCAUUAGCUUGUUGGUGGGGUAACGGCCUACCAAGGCGACGAUGGCUAGCCGGUCUGAGAGGAUGAUCGGCCACACUGGGACUGAGACAUGGUCCAGACUCCUCCGGGAGUUAGCAUCAGGGAAUCUUGCGCAAUGGACGAAAGUCUGACGCAGCGACGCCGCGUGAGGGAUGAAGGUCUGCGGAUCGUAAACCUCUGUAAGCAGGGACGAAUGCCCGGCUCGGUCGGGAGAGACGGUACCUGCAAAGUAAGCUCCGGCUAACUACGUGCCAGCAGCCGCGGUAAUACGUAGGGAGCCAGCGUUGUCCGGAUUUACUGGGCGUAAAGAGCGCGUAGGCGGUUUUGUAAGCGGAGGGUGAAAUCUCGGGGCUCAACUCCGAGGCUGCUUUCCGAACUGCAAGACUAGAGUACGGGAGAGGAUAGUGGAAUUCCUGGUGUAGCGGUGGAAUGCGUAAAUAUCAGGAGGAACACCCGUGGCGAAGGCUGCUAUCUGGAACGUAACUGACGCUGAGGCGCGAAAGCUAGGGGAGCGAACGGGAUUAGAUACCCCGGUAGUCCUAGCCGUAAACGAUGGAUACUAGGUGUUGGAGGCAUCGACCCCUUCAGUGCUGUUCUGCUAACGCGUUAAGUAUCCCGCCUGGGGAGUACGGGCCGCAGGUUGAACUCAAAGGGAUUUGACGG